GUGUUGCAUGAAAGGAGAGAAGGUGAGCCCUCCCUUCAACAAUGACAGAAGAGGCCCGUGUGACAGGAACAUGGUUAAGGCACUGUUCCCCUCUUCCUCGCGCUCCACCAUCAUUCCCA
Molecule: non-coding RNA, 119 nt
Filed under: Dipodomys ordii (Ord's kangaroo rat)
Lineage: Eukaryota; Metazoa; Chordata; Mammalia; Rodentia; Heteromyidae
Source: RNAcentral